GAAGGGUGGCAGAGUGGUCGAUCGCGACGGUCUUGAAAACCGUUUGGCCCGCAAGGGUCACGAGGGUUCGAAUCCCUCCCCUUCC
RNAcentral lists this transfer RNA (85 nucleotides) under marine eukaryotic metagenome. It matches the Rfam family "tRNA". From Rfam's summary of the family: Transfer RNA (tRNA) molecules are approximately 80 nucleotides in length. Their secondary structure includes four short double-helical elements and three loops (D, anti-codon, and T loops). The record is from RNAcentral.